AUAUCGGGGGUGCACUGGCACAGAGGAAAGGCCAUGUGAAGCAAGAAGGCAGCCAUCUGCAAGCCAAGGAGAGAAAUUUCAGAAGGAACCAACCCUACCGACAUCUUGAUCUUGGACUUUAAGCUGCCAGACCUAUAGCUUCACACAUAAGGAACCACCUUAGCAUCCUUCACUCAAUGCUGAAAGUGAGCAUCUGGUCUGCCUUUGGGCCAAUGCUAAAUCUCUUCAACAGCAUCCUUUACCGAAGCAACAUUGUCCCAGAAUCUGCUGAAGCAGCAAGAAAAGAGGUCAGCAGUAGGACCAAGCUGCAUAUCUUCUUAGGCAGGAGUGCAUCACUAUUGAGGCCAAAUGGACACUCACUAGCAAGGUGGCUGGAAACAACUGUUCCAGAAAGAACCCAAGGAAAAAUUUCCAGGAGGAACCCAAACAGAAAAAUCUAUUUUAUACAUUUUCUACAGAAAAUGCACCCCAUCAUUGCUUAUAGCCCACCCACGUGGACUGCUCAUUCUGUGAAUCAUGUUUUACAGAAAUUGCCUUGAUGUUAGGAAUUAAAAAAACAAAACAAAACAAAAAACAUGGAGCCGUAUUCUCCAGAAGCUUACAUCUGAUUUAACGAGACAGCAAUAGGAAGCCAAAGGGUCCCUGCAGAGGAGGGUUGCAGCACGAUAACUCUACAGCUGGACAGAGACAGAUUGCAGGGGAGCAAGAAUGAAUGGCAGGCCAGCUGCCAGAAGCUUCUCACUCCGUGGAGACCUUGGAGUCGAGGAUGAAAUGUCUUACAACUGUGGGGAGACCUUGGCUUUUCCAAAGCCUACCAGGGUCCAGCCCUAUAUUCUGCAACUAUGCUGGCAGAUUUAGGAGGUGAUAACUGCUGGGAAGAAGUUGUUAAAGAGAGAACUCAGAGCCCCCAUGCUCCAUCCUCAACCACUGGCUGACAGGGAAGGACUCCAAGCAGACAGUGGGUGAUACUGUUGCUACUGGUCUUUGAGAACUGCUGACUUACAAUGUAUGGACAGGUAAAUAGGGUUCAUUCUCCAGCCACCUCUCAUCUACCAAAGAAAGUGCAGGCUCCUGUAGCAUGUAAAGGAGGACUUGGAAGCUAAGGCCCAGAGAGGAGGAGAAACUUGAUCAAAGUCAAUCAGACAAUGCAGAAUCGAGAAAAGUACCUGGACCUCUAUGCCCAUGCUUCUAGCAGCCAGCCUCCUAAAAUACCUCUAGUUGAAGCCAAAGUUAGAAUCCUUCUACGAAACUACAGGAUUAAAAUGGAAUGGUUACAUGACCCAGGCUUGACCAAUCAGAUCAUCCAAACCCUUUGCCACAGUGAUUGGUCCAGGGAUACAUGCAUGAGCCAGCUCAGUACGCAAGGCCCAAACAAUUGGUGAUAAUGAAGAAACUCUACUACCAGACGUUGCGGGAUGCCUCAAUGACCUAAUCCAGUAAAUCACAGCUCCAGCUGUCCAUGAGCUCUGUCUACCAUCUGAGGAAUUGUUUCUUUUUAAUACAAAGACUGGCACUCAUCAGAUAAUAAUUUCUGGGAUAGAAGCAAAGUAUUGGUAUUUCUUUAAGUCUCUUGAAGGUGAUUCUACUGAGCUGGGAUUAAGAACACACUGCCUUAAUCCUUUCAUCAUCAACAAAA
RNAcentral lists this long non-coding RNA (1636 nucleotides) under Homo sapiens (human). Its description in RNAcentral is "PREDICTED lncRNA (TCONS_00265588)". Lineage: Eukaryota; Metazoa; Chordata; Mammalia; Primates; Hominidae. The record is from RNAcentral.